RNAcentral lists this ribosomal RNA (491 nucleotides) under uncultured Bradyrhizobiaceae bacterium. RNAcentral's name for it is "bacterial SSU rRNA". It matches the Rfam family "Bacterial small subunit ribosomal RNA", at positions 897 to 1382 of the family's 1533-position model. The record is from RNAcentral. Lineage: Bacteria; Pseudomonadati; Pseudomonadota; Alphaproteobacteria; Hyphomicrobiales; Nitrobacteraceae.
AAACUCAAAUGAAGUUGACCGGGGGCCCGGCACAAGCGGUGGAGCAUGUGGUUUAAUUCGACGCAACGCGCAGAACCUUACCAGCCCUUGACAUCCCGGUCGCGGUUUCCAGAGAUGGAUUCCUUCAGUUCGGCUGGACCGGUGACAGGUGCUGCAUGGCUGUCGUCAGCUCGUGUCGUGAGAUGUUGGGUUAAGUCCCGCAACGAGCGCAACCCCCGUCCUUAGUUGCUACCAUUUAGUUGAGCACUCUAAGGAGACUGCCGGUGAUAAGCCGCGAGGAAGGUGGGGAUGACGUCAAGUCCUCAUGGCCCUUACGGGCUGGGCUACACACGUGCUACAAUGGCGGUGACAAUGGGACGCUAAGAGGCAACUCUUCGCAAAUCUCAAAAAGCCGUCUCAGUUCGGAUUGGGCUCUGCAACUCGAGCCCAUGAAGUUGGAAUCGCUAGUAAUCGUGGAUCAGCAUGCCACGGUGAAUACGUUCCCGGGCCUU